UGGGUCGAGCGUACUUGUGUUUCCUCGAGCAGGUAAUUGGUGUCUUGAAGUGGGUCUUGUCUUUGCGAUUGGUUAACAGCUACGUCCCUUACUGUAUGAUGUUCUUGCUCUUGGCUAUCUUCUGUCUUCAGAAAUUGAUCUUGCCUUUCUUCUUGUUCAUCAUCUGUGUCCAGAAGUGGAUUUCCUCUCUUUGGGCUGCUAUGAGCGUCAAGAAGUGCAGAUACAAUCUGCAUCGUGCCGGGGAAGGCGACAACACGGAGGUCCUUCGCAAGUUCAGCGGUGACCUUUGCGGCAUAUAAUCUGAUAGUUGUAUCCUUUGGACUUGUCCAAUCCAACAUCCUGAUUAUUCUGGCCACAGUAUUGGUGGAAGUGGUGAGUUUUGACAGGAGUUGUGCCCUGGUUGGCUGCCAUUGCAGAAAGCUGUGCAUCAGACGAAUACCGUGGAGCUGA
This 450-nucleotide ribosomal RNA is filed under the name Triticum aestivum (bread wheat). RNAcentral describes it as "partial small subunit ribosomal RNA". Lineage: Eukaryota; Viridiplantae; Streptophyta; Magnoliopsida; Poales; Poaceae. The record is from RNAcentral.